Molecule: non-coding RNA, 122 nt
Organism: Sporothrix brasiliensis 5110
Lineage: Eukaryota; Fungi; Ascomycota; Sordariomycetes; Ophiostomatales; Ophiostomataceae
Source: the annotation of a RefSeq genome assembly
GGCUCAGUGGUCUAGUGGUAUGAUUCGCGCUUCGGGAAAAGGUUGUCCUACCAAGGAAUAGCCGGCCCUUCUGCUUAGCAGGAACAUGUGCGAGGUCUCGGGUUCGAUCCCCGACUGAGCCC